AGCGAACGCUGGCGGCAGGCUUAACACAUGCAAGUCGAGCGGGCAUAGCAAUAUGUCAGCGGCAGACGGGUGUGUAACGCGUGGGAACGUACCUUUUGGUUCGGAACAACACAGGGAUACUUGUGCUAAUACCGGAUAAGCCCUUACGGGGAAAGAUUUAUCGCCGAAAGAUCGGCCCGCGUCUGAUUAGCUAGUUGGUGAGGUAAUGGCUCACCAAGGCGACGAUCAGUAGCUGGUCUGAGAGGAUGAUCAGCCACAUUGGGACUGAGACACGGCCCAAACUCCUACGGGAGGCAGCAGUGGGGAAUAUUGGACAAUGGGCGCAAGCCUGAUCCAGCCAUGCCGCGUGAGUGAUAAAGGCCCUAGGGUUGUAAAGCUCUUUUGUGCGGGAAGAUAAUGACGGUACCGCAAGAAUAAGCCCCGGCUAACUUCGUGCCAGCAGCCGCGGUAA
This 451-nucleotide ribosomal RNA is filed under the name uncultured bacterium. Its description in RNAcentral is "partial 16S ribosomal RNA". It matches the Rfam family "Bacterial small subunit ribosomal RNA", at positions 29 to 523 of the family's 1533-position model. The record is from RNAcentral.